This is a non-coding RNA of Oryctolagus cuniculus (rabbit), 863 nucleotides long. NCBI's taxonomy places the organism in Eukaryota, Metazoa, Chordata, Mammalia, Lagomorpha, Leporidae. The record is from RefSeq and is a predicted model, not a curated record.
GCUGUACCAACUGAAAGAAACUAGUCUGUGGGCUGCUCGCCUCUGGCUCGCUUUCACCUGACUCCUGGGGUCUGCGUGGUGACUCCGAGCCUCUUGCCCCCACCACGCUUCUCCUCUCAGAAGAAAUCAACCUCAACAGGGAUGCCUCGGUGGCUCCUCAGGCUAGAAUUCUAAGUUGGCUUUCACUGCUUAGCAUCUACCAGCGCUGCUCCGUUUCUACCUCUGUUGCCUCGGGGAGGUUGUUCUGCUGGACUCAGGAUUUUGGACCUAAACUUCAGUAUGGAUUACUUGGCGAGUGUCCAGGCCCCCUUUGAGCCACGUGUUAUGAGAGAACAUCACCACAAUUCUGAUGUCCCUUCGCUGGAUUACCAGCAAUCCAGGGAACUGUCCACCGUGGUGGAGUUCACAGAUGUGACUGCUUUGGCAGAUCCCCUGGAUCAAAGGUCUGUAUGACACUGACCACUCACUGGGGCUAUAUUGACGGGGGAGGGCACCAGGACUUUAAUCGACAACAGGAGGUUGCUAGGGUUAAGGAGGUUCUCAAGGACCUGGGAGAAAACUUGUCACCAAUAACCACUCAGUGGCGACCCUUGCCACCUCUCCCACAGAGACCCAACCCACUUCACCUCCUGUGCCCUGACUGGCUGUCGUACAUCUCUUCUGUCUACCAGCUCCUCAACUCUUGUGAUAGCUCUCUGGCUGAUGGUUGCUGGAUUUGUUGCACCCUGCUGCCUUCCUUUACAACUUUCGAAGUCCCAACAAAGUCUACUCCUGGACCCACUGAUGAGACAACUUUUCUCUUACUUACUAAUCUCCCUCACCCAAAAAACCUACACCAGUGCUUCAGUCUAACCUCAUCAUUA